CGCUGGCGGCGUGCCUACACAUGCAAGUCGAACGGAGAUUAACGCUGACGAGACUUCGGUCAAAUCUUGUUAAAUCUUAGUGGCGGACGGGUGAGUAACGCGUGGGCAACCUGCCUCAUACUGGGGGAUAGCAGUUGGAAACGACUGAUAAUACCGCAUAAGCGCACGGAGUCGCAUGACUCUGUGUGAAAAACUCCGGUGGUAUGAGAUGGGCCCGCGUCAGAUUAGCUAGUUGGUAAGGUAACGGCUUACCAAGGCGACGAUCUGUAGCCGGACUGAGAGGUCGGACGGCCACAUUGGGACUGAGACACGGCCCAAACUCCUACGGGAGGCAGCAGUGGGGGAUAUUGCACAAUGGAGGAAACUCUGAUGCAGCGACGCCGCGUGAGUGAAGAAGUAUUUCGGUAUGUAAAGCCCUAUCAGCAGGGAAGAAAGGCUCGCAAGAGAGAUGACGGUACCUGACUAAGAAGCCCCGGCUAACUACGUGCCAGCAGCCGCGGUAAUACGUAGGGGGCAAGCGUUAUCCGGAUUUACUGGGUGUAAAGGGAGCGCAGACGGUCAAGCAAGUCUGAAGUGAAACCCCACGGCUCAACCGUGGGCUUGCUUUGGAAACUGUUUGACUA
This 623-nucleotide ribosomal RNA is filed under the name uncultured rumen bacterium. RNAcentral's name for it is "bacterial SSU rRNA". It matches the Rfam family "Bacterial small subunit ribosomal RNA", at positions 34 to 643 of the family's 1533-position model. The record is from RNAcentral.